GAGGGUACAGCUCAGUGGCAGAGCACAUGCUUAGCAUGCCUGAGGUCUUAAGUUCAAUCCCCAGUACCUCCA
RNAcentral lists this transfer RNA (72 nucleotides) under Camelus ferus (Wild Bactrian camel). It matches the Rfam family "tRNA". From Rfam's summary of the family: Transfer RNA (tRNA) molecules are approximately 80 nucleotides in length. Their secondary structure includes four short double-helical elements and three loops (D, anti-codon, and T loops). The record is from Rfam by way of RNAcentral. Lineage: Eukaryota; Metazoa; Chordata; Mammalia; Artiodactyla; Camelidae.